RNAcentral lists this unclassified non-coding RNA (378 nucleotides) under uncultured Parachlamydiaceae bacterium. RNAcentral's name for it is "contains 16S-23S intergenic spacer region". Lineage: Bacteria; Pseudomonadati; Chlamydiota; Chlamydiia; Parachlamydiales; Parachlamydiaceae. The record is from RNAcentral.
UCCCGGUUAACCCGGGCAGUCUCGUUAGAGUUCCCACCAUUACGUGCUGGCAACUAACGAUAAGGGUUGCGCUCGUUGCGGGACUUAACCCAACACCUCACGGCACGAGCUGACGACAGCCAUGCAGCACCUGUGCACUGGCCCCGAAGGGAAUUGGCAUCUCUGCCAACGCCCAGUGCAUGUCAAGCCUGGGUAAGGUUCUUCGCGUUGCAUCGAAUUAAACCACAUGCUCCACUGCUUGUGCGGGUCCCCGUCAAUUCUUUUGAGUUUCAGCCUUGCGACUGUACUCCCCAGGCGGUAUACUUAUCGCGUUUGCUUCGGCACAACCAGGGUUGAAUCCAGUUACACCAAGUAUACAUCGUUUACGGCAAGGACUAC